Molecule: transfer RNA, 73 nt
Filed under: Exophiala mesophila
Lineage: Eukaryota; Fungi; Ascomycota; Eurotiomycetes; Chaetothyriales; Herpotrichiellaceae
Description: tRNA-Val (TAC) (tRNA-Val-TAC-1-1)
Rfam family: tRNA
About the family: Transfer RNA (tRNA) molecules are approximately 80 nucleotides in length. Their secondary structure includes four short double-helical elements and three loops (D, anti-codon, and T loops).
Source: RNAcentral
AGUUCCAUAGUGUAGUGGUUAUCACGUUCCCUUUACACGGGAAAGGUCCUGGGUUCGAACCCCAGUGGGACUA